RNAcentral lists this long non-coding RNA (276 nucleotides) under Mytilus galloprovincialis (Mediterranean mussel). The record is from RNAcentral. Lineage: Eukaryota; Metazoa; Mollusca; Bivalvia; Mytilida; Mytilidae.
ACAUGUAUAUACUAGUAUACCAGUUUUGUCAAUGUUGAAGCUACUUUAAAUUUAUCCGUAAGAUUGCUUUCGUAUGGAUGAAUAUCCUUCAAGUUUCAUUCAAUGAUAUAACAGCUGUAGCCAUGUGAAUAACGAAAUUUAAAAGUGCAAUAAUACAUUUUUAACAAUAACAGCAAAGAUAAUGAAUAAUACAGAUGGGCUAUUUAAUUUUGUACAUAUACCGUUAUGUUGAAUAAGUUUCUUUAAAAGUCUUUGUAUGACGAUUGUUUCGACAAG